UGGAAUUGGUGCUCCAGUGUCCUGCCUUUAUAUGUGCAGGGGGCGAAGGGACCUAGUUACUGGGCUGCCUACGAGGUUCAGGAGGUUCUCGGGCCCUUGGAGGUCCGAGUGGGGUAGGUACGAGAGCCUGGGAGUCCCCACUUCUGUGCUCCUCCUGCCCUGUGACCGCAGUGAACGUCCCGGCUACUCCACUCCGCUCCUCGAGCUCUUGUGUCCUGGGCUGUCAGGUAGUGGCCCCGCGGGAGGGUGUUUGCCGCGGCCUCCGUCACAGCCCGUCUGUGUCAGCGGCCACUCAGGGGUCGUCGUCUUUAGCUUUGUAUCUGCUUUUCGGAACAGGAGACCCUGGUUCGAAAGUCAACCAUACCGAGGUGAUGACCCAGCAUAUAGCUGGGCUGGGGACGUGAUAAGCCAGCCGAUCGACUGAGCACGGAUGAGGCAGGGUCUCCUGGCCUCCACCUGGCCGGACUCUGAGCCCCAGUGCCCGAGGUUCCCGACUAAGCCCAGGACUCGGUGUUCAGGUAGAGCGUUCUCAGGUAGGCGGUAUUAAUUUCAGAAUCCAGUAUGAUAUCAUGCGAAAGGUGCAGGGGGACGAAUGUGCAUGUGCAAGACUCGGAGGUGAGACUAACUUGAGAGCACUUAGGAAAGUUCUCAUGUCUCCACCGCGAAGGACCAAGAGCGUGAGGAGUCCUAUUUCUAUAGACAGGCUGAGGGUGCUGGGAUCCAUAGCAAAUUUUCAGAAGAUGGAUGGCCAAUAUCUGAGUUAGGUAAGAUUUUGAAACUAUCCUAGUGGAUGGUUUGUGUGUACACACUGAUGGGAGAGAGGUUGUGGUGGGGCUGAAAGCAUGCGGCUUGGUGAGGCUGCUGCUGCUGCAGAUAUUUUCCGGGUGGCCUGUUCAGAAUAGAAGUAGGAGAAAUAAUCAGAUUCCAGAUAGAUUUUUCAAGGUGGAAUCAAUGGGGUUUCCGAUUACAUAUGAAGAGUGAUGCCAGAGGCCCGCUCCGGCGGCCAGGGAGCGUCCUCUUUUUCCCGAUGGGAGAGGGAUGCGGCGUCCGCGAAUGAACAAUUACGGAGACAGCCUCUUUGUCCCUUCUUUCAGGGCGCUGGACUGCUCAAACUUUAUUGGCAUAAGUGGUUGAUUAUAUAGACAGUUUUUUGCUACAGAUUACAUCACAGUGUUAAAAGCACAUUGGUCAACUAUUACAUGGUAUAGCAGCCAUACAUCAUGUUUUAAGAUCUUUGUUUUAACUAAACUUAGUGGGUACAAUUUAGGGGCAAUUAGGUACAAUACAUCAUGUUUAAAGAUCUCUAUCUUAACUAAACUUAGUGAGUACAAUUUAAGGGCAAUUAGGUACAAUACAUCAUGGAAAGGAGGCGACUACAAAUCAUCCCAUGGCCAGCCAGUCUUUACAAUUUGAAGAGUUCACAGACACAAGAAUUUGGCAUUCUCAAAUCUUGUUUUUAGACUGGUGCUUAUCUUUAAGCGUUAUGGCAGGGAGACAGUGUAAGAAAAUAUAAACCAACUUAACUAGAUAUCACUUAAAAGCUUCUAUAACUCAUAGCUAGGUGUCUUUUGGUCAAGAAUGAUAUAUGUCUAACUUCUAUGAACCUCAUUAAAAUCCUAACUCUAAAAUUUUACUGUAUAACUAAUUAAUAGAUAAACACUAUGUUUUAACUAAGUUGGAUUAAAAUAGGGGAAAGUCUCUCAGGAUGAAAUUCUUAUUAUAUUAUUGUUGUAAUUUUGUUAAAUCACAAAUCACCACAGGACAGUAAGAAUGGGAAAUAAGAAUAAUAAGUAAAUAAUCAGGAAAGACUGAGAAAAAUUGAAUAACAAAUAAAAUAGCAGGAAAGACUCACCCGAGAAACAAUCCGUGUUCUCCAGUGCAAACAUGGAAAUUGCUUUCCCAGGAAAGCCUUAAUUCUUCCCCAUCAACAUCAAAGUAAGAGCUGUGUAACCUGAGGCCUGCCCUCGGCUUGUACGGUACAGGCAGGCUUUCAUCCUGACCAGAGGCCCACCUUCGGCAUGCACCAUUCAGGUGAGCUUUUUUCCUGACCAAAAGCCCACCUUCAGCUUGUACCGUUCAGGUGAGCUCCCUUUCUUGGUUAAGAAAGGGAGGUUUUUCUGCCAUCAGGCAAGGUCCUUUUUUUGAGUCCCUGCAUUUUCUUGGCUCCCGCAGAGUGAAUAUAAGUGGAGGAUAAAGGGCAUUUUAAGUGUUCAGAUAACAAAUGAGAUGGAGGAGUUCCCCGUUACGGUGCAGCAGAAACAAAUCCGACUAGGGACCAGGAGGUUGCAGGUUUGAUCCCUGGCCUUGCUCCGUGGGGUUAAGGAUCUGGCGUUGCCAUGAGCUGUGGUGUAGGCCGGCAGCUACAGCUCCUAUUAGGCCCCUAGCCUGGGAACCUCCAUGUGCCACAGGUGCGGCAUAAAGACAAAAGACAAAAGCCAAAAAAAACAGAGGUGGAGGUUGGCAGAAGAGUAUGUGUGGAGGACGAUUAGCGGCUGGACUUUGAGCCAUCUGAGUAGAGGUGACACAUUUGCCUGUGAACAAACAGGGAGUUCCCAUUUGGCCUCCGGAUUUCCAGGCUGUGGUGCACUGGUGGCCUGGACCAGGGCGGUCCUGCAAAUAGGAUUUUGGAAGAAAAGUCUUAGGUUGUGGAUACAGGUGGGCCCUGGGGUGAGUGUGGGGUGACCAGUAGCUGGGUGGAGGAAGUCCCUAAGUGGAGAAACAAACUCCAAUGGAUGUGGGGAGCAGGGCCCUGCUCUCAGAUACGGAAGGUGAACAAGUGUGUUAGGGGACAGGGUUUGGGAGGCAGAAGGAGAGGUGGCUGGCAGGACAGAGACUAGGGUUCCAGGUCCAGUGCCCAGAGCUUCAGUCACAUUCAUGUGCCCCUGUCCUGGUUUUGCAGGGCCCAGUGACCUGCAAGGACAAGGUCAUAGGCCUUUUUCAGAAGACGUGGGACUCCUUAGUGAGGCCCAGCGGGGCUUCUGUUGUGAUGUGCUGCUGUCUGCCCCAGGCCAGAGGUCUGUUGUUGCUGUGAGAGGUGCCACCAGCCCUCGUGCUGGCCCGAGAGCUGCUCUCUCUCCUCUGGACUCCUGCGUAAACAAUCCCAACACCUUUGCCCUGGGACCUAGAGAACCACGGUCCAGGGUCAAAAGUACUACAAUCUGAGGAGCAGAUCACAUCCAGCUCUGCGGUUUUUCUGCUCAGGUGACCUAGUCAGGUCUGUGACGUUUCCAUCUCUGGAUCACUGUGGCACUUUUCUGCCAGCUGUCUCUUAUGAGCCUCUUUAUUGGCACCAUGGGCACGAACACGGCCGUUGAUUCUGGGGUCAUUGAGCCCCUGAGGCUUUUCCUGGGUGUUCAUUUUGCAAAGUUGAUUUGUCCCAGAUGCGUAAGUGACCCUCAUCUGCCUUGGUCUGACGUAGGGAGUAUCACCCUGACCUGAGGCCAGCUGACCUCUCACCGAUGCCUGGUGGCCAGGUGGUUAAGGCUCCAGCGUUGUCACUGCUGUGAUGCAGGUUCUAUCUGUCUUUUCUUUUUUUUCUUUUUUUGUCUUUUGUCUUUUUAGGGCCCCACCCACAGCAUAUGGAGGUUCCCAGGCUAGGGAUCGAAUCAGAGCUGCGGCUUCCGGCCUACGCCGGAGCCACAGCAACACCAGAUCUGAGCCGUGUCUGCGACCUACACCACAUCUUAUGGCAACCCUGGAUCCUUAACCCACUGAUUGAGGCCAGGGGUUGAACCCGCAACCUCAUGGUUCCUAGUCGGAUUUGUUUCCACUCCCAGGUUCUAUCAUUUUUUAAUUUUCUUAAUGGUGUCUUUAAAAAUUAAUUUUUUUUGGAGUUCCCAUUGUGGUGCAACAGAAAUUAAUCCAACUAGUAUCCAUGAGGACGCAAGUUUGAUUCCUGGCCUUGCUCAUUGGUGGGGGAUCUGAUCUUACCAUGAGCUGUGGCAUAGGUUGCAGACGCAGCUCGGAUCUCACAUAACUGUGGCUGUGGCCAGCAGCUCUAGCUCCAAUUCAGCUCCUAACCUGGGAACUUCCAUAUGCCGAGGGUGCAGCUCUAAAAAGCAAAAAGAAAAAUAAUAAUAAUUUUUUUUUUUUGGCUGUACCUGUGGCAUGUGGAAGUUCCUUGUGCCAGGGACUGAACCCUCGCCACACCAGCAGCCUGAGCCACUGCAGUGACAACACCAGAUCCUUAAUCUGUUGUUCCACAAGGGAACUCCUUAGUAGUAUCUUUAUUUUUAUUAUUAUUAUUUUUUCUUUUUUGUCUUUUUGCCCUUGCUAGGGCCACUCGCAUGGCAUCUGGAGGUUCCCAGGCUAGGGGUCGAAUCGGAGCUGUAGCCGCCGGCCUACACCACAGCCACAGCAACACGGGAUCCGAGCCGCAUCUGCGACCUACACCACAGCUCAUGGCAAUGCCGGAUCCUUAACCCACUGAGUGAGGCCAGGGAUCGAACCUGCAACCUCAUGGUUCCCAGUCGGAUUCAUUAACCACUGAGCCAUGAUGGGAACUCCGGGUGUGCACUUUCUUAUGACCUGCAGACCUGCACCUCUGCUCCAGCUGUCAGUCAGUUCAAUAUAGGGGAGUCAUUAUCAGUCGUCUGCUCCAUGUCAAGUUACCUGAGUCAUAGAGACUUGGUCACUUUUCCAAAGGCACAUAGCUAAGUCUCCGCUGUGGCGUGCAGUCCAGAGUCUGUUCUCUACCGCCUCACUCUCUCUGGAACACACAUGGGGGUGUUUUGAGCUAUUUGGGGUUUUUUGGCCAUGCCCCCAGCAUGCAGGAUUUCCCAGGCCAGGGAUUAAACCUGCACCACAGCAGUGACAACGCCAGAUCCUAAACCUGCUAGGCCCCCAGGGAACUCUGUUGUGACCUUUAAAUAAAUAAAACAUGGUUUACAUGGAAGCCAUGUACUUAUUUGCCAUCCAUAUAUCUAGUGAAGUGAGUUUUAAAAAUUAUGCUGUCUUAUUGUUACAAGGAUUUUUUUUUUUUUUUUUUUUUUUUUUUUUUUUUUUUUUUUACCAUGACAUCACGGGCAGGUUUAUUUGGGUUUGUUUGUUUGCUUGUUGGCUCGAUUAAAUACUCGUGGAAGGUGAACGUACCCCACACAGGAGAAGUUUGAUGUUGACAAACUUCUGGUGGCAGCGAGACUGUGUCAGCACAACUUCCAGGAUCAGGAUUUUUUAUAUAGUCUAAUAGAGUCAGGGAUCUUGUCAGUAUUUGUUUAGCAGAGGUUUCCCAGUCUCGCUUACAGUUUCAUUUCUUUUUUUUUUUUUUUUCUCUUUAGGGCUGCAUCCUUGGCAUAUGGAAGUUUCCAGACUAGGAGAUGAAUUGGAGCUGCAGUUGUCAGCCUACGCCACAGCCACAGCAAUGCCAGAUCCGAGCCUCGUCUGUGACCUACGCUGCAGCUCACAGCAAUGCCAGAUCCUUAACGCACUGAGAGGGGUCAGGGACUGAACCCAUGUCCUCAUGGAUACUAGUUGGGUUCGUUACUGCUGAGUCACAACAGGAACUCCCAUUUUUAUAUUCUUGAGAGUGACUGUUCAAAUAGAAAGUCUAAAAUUUUGAGGGGGUUCCUGUUGUGGCACAUCAGAAAGGAAUCCACCUAGUAUCAAUGAGGAUGCGGGUUCUAUCCUUGGCCUCGCUCAGCGGGUUGGGGAGUGUGGCAUUGCUGUAAGCUGUGGUGCAGGUCACAGGUGCUGCUCGGAUCCCUCAUUGCUAUGGCUGUGGUGUAGGAUAGCAGCUGUAGCUCUGAUUCAGCACCUAGCCUGGGAACUCCCAUAUCCCGCAGGUGCGGCCCCAAAAAGCAAAAAAUAAAAAUAAA
RNAcentral lists this long non-coding RNA (5813 nucleotides) under Sus scrofa (pig). RNAcentral's name for it is "lncRNA (ENSSSCG00000050419.2)". The record is from RNAcentral. Lineage: Eukaryota; Metazoa; Chordata; Mammalia; Artiodactyla; Suidae.